This 443-nucleotide ribosomal RNA is filed under the name uncultured bacterium. Its description in RNAcentral is "partial 16S ribosomal RNA". It matches the Rfam family "Bacterial small subunit ribosomal RNA", at positions 338 to 795 of the family's 1533-position model. The record is from RNAcentral.
CCUACGGGUGGCAGCAGUGGGGAAUAUUGGGCAAUGGGCGCAAGCCUGACCCAGCAACGCCGCGUGAAGGAAGAAGGCUUUCGGGUUGUAAACUUCUUUUCUCAGGGACGAAGCAAGUGACGGUACCUGAGGAAUAAGCCACGGCUAACUACGUGCCAGCAGCCGCGGGAAUACGUAGGUGGCAAGCGUUAUACGGAUUUACUGGGUGUAAAGGGCGUGUAGGCGGGAAAGCAAGUCAGAUGUGAAAACCACGGGCUCAACCCGUGGCCUGCGUUUGAAACUGUUUUACUAGAGUACUGGAGAGGCAAGCGGAAUUCCUAGUGUAGCGGUGAAAUGCGUAGAUAUAAGGAGGAACACCAGUGGCGAAGGCGGUCUGCUGGACAGCAACUGACGCUGAGGCGCGAAAGCGUGGGGAGCAAACAGGAUUAGAUACCCUUGUAGUC